GCGGUAAGGCCCUUCGGGGUACACGAGCGGCGAACGGGUGAGUAACACGUGGGUGAUCUGCCUCGCACUUCGGGAUAAGCCUGGGAAACUGGGUCUAAUACCGGAUAUGACCUUUCAGUGCAUGCUGUUGGGUGGAAAGAUUUAUCGGUGCGAGAUGGGCCCGCGGCCUAUCAGCUUGUUGGCGGGGUAACGGCCCACCAAGGCGACGACGGGUAGCCGACCUGAGAGGGUGACCGGCCACACUGGGACUGAGACACGGCCCAGACUCCUACGGGAGGCAGCAGUGGGGAAUAUUGCACAAUGGGCGGAAGCCUGAUGCAGCGACGCCGCGUGAGGGAUGACGGCCUUCGGGUUGUAAACCUCUUUCGACAGGGACGAAGCGCAAGUGACGGUACCUGUAGAAGAAGCACCGGCCAACUACGUGCCAGCAGCCGCGGUAAUACGUAGGGUGCGAGCGUUGUCCGGAAUUACUGGGCGUAAAGAGCUUGUAGGCGGUUUGUCGCGUCGUCCGUGAAAACUUGGGGCUCAACCCCAAGCUUGCGGGCGAUACGGGCAGACUUGAGUACUUCAGGGGAGACUGGAAUUCCUGGUGUAGCGGUGAAAUGCGCAGAUAUCACGAGGAACACCGGUGGCGAACGCGGGUCUCUGGGAAGUAACUGACGCUGAGAAGCGAAAGCGUGGUAGCGAACAGGAUAGAUACCUGUAGUCACGCGUAACGGU
Molecule: ribosomal RNA, 720 nt
Filed under: Nocardia brasiliensis
Lineage: Bacteria; Bacillati; Actinomycetota; Actinomycetes; Mycobacteriales; Nocardiaceae
Description: bacterial SSU rRNA
Rfam family: Bacterial small subunit ribosomal RNA
Source: RNAcentral